UGGGAGUAAGCGUUACGGAAGCGCAGUCGGCUCCAACCCGACAGGCGCAGGUUCGACCCCUGCACUCUCAGCGA
This 74-nucleotide transfer RNA is filed under the name Subtercola vilae. Its description in RNAcentral is "tRNA-Trp". It matches the Rfam family "tRNA". From Rfam's summary of the family: Transfer RNA (tRNA) molecules are approximately 80 nucleotides in length. Their secondary structure includes four short double-helical elements and three loops (D, anti-codon, and T loops). Further hydrogen bonds mediate the characteristic L-shaped molecular structure. tRNAs have two regions of fundamental functional importance: the anti-codon, which is responsible for specific mRNA codon recognition, and the 3' end, to which the tRNAs corresponding amino acid is attached (by aminoacyl-tRNA synthetases). tRNAs cope with the degeneracy of the genetic code in two manners: having more than one tRNA (with a specific anti-codon) for a particular amino acid; and 'wobble' base-pairing, i.e. permitting non-standard base-pairing at the 3rd anti-codon position. The record is from RNAcentral. Lineage: Bacteria; Bacillati; Actinomycetota; Actinomycetes; Micrococcales; Microbacteriaceae.